UAAAGUCUGGCCUGCCCACUGGGAUCAAACUAAAGGGCCGCGGUAUUUUAACCGUGCGAAGGUAGCAUAGUCAUUAGUCUCUUAAUUGGAGGCUUGUAUGAAUGGUUGGACAAGAAGCAAACUGUCUCAAACACAAAAAUUGAAUUUGACUUUUAAGUGAAAAGGCUUAAAUAUUUUAAAG
Molecule: ribosomal RNA, 181 nt
Filed under: Homarus americanus (American lobster)
Lineage: Eukaryota; Metazoa; Arthropoda; Malacostraca; Decapoda; Nephropidae
Description: partial 16S ribosomal RNA
Rfam family: Archaeal large subunit ribosomal RNA
Source: RNAcentral